GGUAUGUGUAAAUACUGAUAACAAGUGUGAAUGUUGAAUACUGUCAGGCGUGUAGCUGCCCUUGAGCUGCAGACACAAUAUCUCUGUCUCCUCACAGGCAAAGUGCUGUCUCUUCUGAUGCUUUGCCGGAACCUAGACAUUACGGUCCCUUCAAUAAAUCAGAUUAAUAUUAACAAGCUGGAGGCAGUUAGCUUAGCUUAGCAUACGUCUUUGUCCGGCUCAAUGAUCAUAAAACAGGAAGUUGAAGUAGAGAAUUAGCCAAGAGUAAUAUGUGUGCCUGAUAUCCAACGAUGAAUGGUAUGGACACAAAACAGAAGUCAGAUUCAGUUCUUUAUUUGUUUUUUGGGAGGAAUAUUUUUGUAAAUGACUCAAGGUUCUCCCAAUAAUACAAAACAGGAAGAGGGAAAAGUUAAAACAAAAACAAAAAUCCCACAUCGAAGAGCACAGAUCCAUUCAACAGGGUUCAUCCUCAUGACCAAUGAACAGGUUCAUCCUCAUGACCAAUGAACAGGUUCAUCCUCAUGACUAAUGAACAGGUUCAUCCUCAUGACCAUUCAACAGGUUCAUCCUCAUGACCAAUGAACAGGUUCAUCCUCAUGACCAAUGAACAGGUUCAUCCUCAUGACUAAUGAACAGGUUCAUCCUCAUGACCAAUGAACAGGUUCAUCCACAUGGCCAAUAAACAGGUUCAUCCACAUGGCCAAUGAACAGGUUCAUCCUCAUGACCAAUGAACAGGUUCAUCCACACGACCAAUGAACAGGUUCAUCCUCAUGACCAAUGAACAGGUUCAUCCUCAUGACCAAUGAACAGGUUCAUCCACAUGACCAAUGAACAGGUUCAUCCUCAUGACCAAUGAACAGGUUCAUCCUCAUGACCAAUGAACAGGUUCAUCCACAUGACCAAUGAACAGGUUCAUCCACAUGACCAAUGAACAGGUUCAUCCACAUGACCAAUGAACAGGUUCAUCCACAUGACCAAUGAACAGGUUCAUCCUCAUGACCAAUGAACAGGUUCAUCCACAUGACCAAUGAACAGGUUCAUCCACAUGACCAAUGAACAGGUUCAUCCACAUGACCAAUGAACAGGUUCAUACACACGACCAAUGAACAGGUUCAUCCUCAUGACCAAUGAACAGGUUCAUACACAUGACCAAUGAACAGGUUCAUCCUCAUGACCAAUGAACAGGUUCAUCCACAUGACCAAUGAACAGGUUCAUCCACAUGACCAAUGAACAGGGUUCAUCCUCAUGAGCAAUGAACAGGGUUCAUCCUCAUGACCAAUGAACAGGUUCAUCCACAUGACCAAUGAACAGGUUCAUCCACAUGGUGACCAAUGAACAGGUUCAUCCACAUGGUGACCAAUGAACAGGUUCAUCCUCAUGACCAAUGAACAGGUUCAUCCACAUGACCAAUGAACAGGUUCAUCCACAUGGUGACCAAUGAACAGGUUCAUCCACAUGGUGACCAAUGAACAGGUUCAUCCACAUGGUGACCAAUGAGUCUCCAGGACUUCAAACCAAAUAUCCACAACCUAAUAGUUUGUGAAAUCUCGGUGCAGACAUGAAAAAGUGAGAAAAUGUUCUAUUUAACCCAACAAAGAGGAUUCCAAAGCAUAGUUUAUAACCUUAAAUUACACAAAUUAAUGAGACAAUCAUUUAGAUUAAAAGAAUAAACAUGUAUGUCUCUUCAGUUAAGGUGCGUUCACUUGCAGCGCGAAAAAUUUGUUUGAAUAUAACAAAUAUCCAUAACUUUUCAAAAACGUUGGGGAUUUUUUUUCUCCAGGACUUUUCCAGGUUUUCCACGUCCGUACGAAACCUGAUUAUUGCUUUUCAAAGCUGGAAGAGUGCAUUAUGAUUUAUAAACACCAUAAAACCACCACAGAGACCUG
Long non-coding RNA from Pseudoliparis swirei, 1888 nucleotides. RefSeq lists it as uncharacterized. The record is from RefSeq and is a predicted model, not a curated record. Lineage: Eukaryota; Metazoa; Chordata; Actinopteri; Perciformes; Liparidae. The transcript is spliced from 2 exons.